AACGAACGCUGGCGGCAUGCCUAACACAUGCAAGUCGAACGAAGGCUUCGGCCUUAGUGGCGCACGGGUGCGUAACGCGUGGGAAUCUGCCCUUUGGUUCGGAAUAACAGCUGGAAACGGCUGCUAAUACCGGAUGAUGACGAAAGUUCAAAGAUUUAUCGCCAGAGGAUGAGCCCGCGUUGGAUUAGGUAGUUGGUGGGGUAAAGGCCUACCAAGCCGACGAUCCAUAGCUGGUCUGAGAGGAUGAUCAGCCACACUGGGACUGAGACACGGCCCAGACUCCUACGGGAGGCAGCAGUGGGGAAUAUUGGACAAUGGGCGCAAGCCUGAUCCAGCAAUGCCGCGUGAGUGAUGAAGGCCCUAGGGUUGUAAAGCUCUUUUACCCGGGAAGAUAAUGACUGUACCGGGAGAAUAAGCCCCGGCUAACUCCGUG
This 433-nucleotide ribosomal RNA is filed under the name uncultured bacterium. RNAcentral describes it as "partial 16S ribosomal RNA". It matches the Rfam family "Bacterial small subunit ribosomal RNA", at positions 29 to 507 of the family's 1533-position model. The record is from RNAcentral.